CGUUGGGACUCUUGAAGUCUUAGUGGCGCAGCUAACGCACUAAGUUGACCGCCUGGGGAGUACGGCCGCAAGGUUAAAACUCAAAUGAAUUGACGGGGGCCCGCACAAGCGGUGGAGCAUGUGGUUUAAUUCGACGCAACGCGAAGAGCCUUACCUGGCCUUGACAUGCAGAGAACUUUCCAGAGAUGGAUUGGUGCCUUCGGGAACUCUGACACAGGUGCUGCAUGGCCGUCGUCAGCUCGUGUCGUGAGAUGUUGGGUUAAGUCCCGUAACGAGCGCAACCCCUAUCCCUAGUUGCUAGCAGUUCGGCUGAGAACUCUAGGGAGACUGCCGGUGACAAACCGGAGGAAGGUGGGGAUGACGUCAGGUCAUCAUGGCCCUUACGGCCAGGGCUACACACGUGCUACAAUGGUGCGUACAGAGGGCUGCAAACCCGCGAGGGGGAGCUAAUCUCACAAAACGCAUCGUAGUCCGGAUCGGAGCCUGCAACUCGACUCCGUGAAGUCGGAAUCGCUAGUAAUCGCGAAUCAGAAUGUCGCGGUGAAUACGUUCCCGGGCCUUGUACACACCGCCCGUCACACCAUGGGAGUGGAUUGCACCAGAAGUGGUUAGUCUAACCUUCGGGAGGA
RNAcentral lists this ribosomal RNA (629 nucleotides) under uncultured bacterium. RNAcentral's name for it is "bacterial SSU rRNA". It matches the Rfam family "Bacterial small subunit ribosomal RNA", at positions 821 to 1450 of the family's 1533-position model. The record is from RNAcentral.